CAGCCGCCACGGGAAUACAGAGGGUGCGAGCGUUAAUCGGAUUUUCUGGGCGUAAAGCGUGCGUAGGCGGCUUCUUAAGUCGGAUGUGAAAUCCCUGAGCUUAACUUAGGAAUUGCAUUCGAUACUGGGAAGCUAGAGUAUGGGAGAGGAUGGUAGAAUUCCAGGUGUAGCGGUGAAAUGCGUAGAGAUCUGGAGGAAUACCGAUGGCGAAGGCAGCCAUCUGGCCUAAUACUGACGCUGAGGUACGAAAGCAUGGGGAGCAAACAGGAUUAGAUACCCCCGUAGUCCCUGUCUCUUAUAC
This 301-nucleotide ribosomal RNA is filed under the name uncultured bacterium. Its description in RNAcentral is "partial 16S ribosomal RNA". It matches the Rfam family "Bacterial small subunit ribosomal RNA", at positions 509 to 807 of the family's 1533-position model. The record is from RNAcentral.